CUUAACUCAGUUGGAUAGAGUAUCGGUCUUCUAAACCGUUGGUCACAAGUUCGAAUCUUGUAG
RNAcentral lists this transfer RNA (63 nucleotides) under Mesopedinella arctica. It matches the Rfam family "tRNA", at positions 6 to 65 of the family's 71-position model. Rfam says of the family: Transfer RNA (tRNA) molecules are approximately 80 nucleotides in length. Their secondary structure includes four short double-helical elements and three loops (D, anti-codon, and T loops). Further hydrogen bonds mediate the characteristic L-shaped molecular structure. tRNAs have two regions of fundamental functional importance: the anti-codon, which is responsible for specific mRNA codon recognition, and the 3' end, to which the tRNAs corresponding amino acid is attached (by aminoacyl-tRNA synthetases). tRNAs cope with the degeneracy of the genetic code in two manners: having more than one tRNA (with a specific anti-codon) for a particular amino acid; and 'wobble' base-pairing, i.e. permitting non-standard base-pairing at the 3rd anti-codon position. The record is from RNAcentral. Lineage: Eukaryota; Dictyochophyceae; Pedinellales.